GAACACAGAUUUUAGAGGUAUUAACUUCUGCAGCUUUAUGCAAGUUCUGCUUUAUUUGAUUCAGAAUUUCCCAAUACCACGGAAGCAAAGGCAAUGAAAACAGGUUUUCUCUCAAUGUCUUCAGAAAAAAAAGUUCUAUCUAUAGUAGGCCAUCCAUAAACACUUGGUUAAUGGAGUAGUUACAGAAUAUAAAAUUAAUUUACAUGGCAUCAAGCGCAGCAUUAAAGCUAGAAGGAAGUUUGUAAUUUAUUUUGUAGAAAUGAUUGAUCUGGGGGAAGACACGGAGUGUUCCGGUGAGAUUUCACAUCUACAGGCAAACAGAGUGGUUUGAGAACAUGACCAAUAGAAUAAAAAACGUGUCUCCGUUUCCUCUCCUUGCCCAAAGAAUCACUGUUUCUCCUGGUCUCUCUAGGCUACUUCCAAACACAAUGGUACAAGGCACGUCACCCAAGCCAGCAAGUGUAAGGCACUGUAUUUGGGUAAAAACAACACAAACUACACUGAGAGGAUGACAGAUUGUGAGAAAUCAUAAAAUAUGUCGUCACUGAAAGCCACACAAAAAACGAUUCUCUGUACUCAAUAAAAUACCGGCUACAUCAAAAGUAAAGUGAAAGGCCACAGCUCCUCCGGUGUAGAAAGUCCUAAUACACGCACACCGUGCACACUCCAUGCAAGGUCCACAGAUCCUGUGGGGAGACCAUACAGCAGGAGGUGGCCCAGAAGAAGGGGCCUAAAAAGGUCAAAGAGAUGAAGAAACCACCUGAGGACAGUUUAAAAUCUGGGUAACAGGGCCAUCAUCAAGCAGAGACGUGACACUGGGGGAAGAGUGGACACAGCGCAAACGCUCACCAUAUCCCGCUAGGCGCCCCGCAGGGCAUUUUCUGAUGGAGAUCAAUUCUGUUAGGUGUAACUGUGAUGGUUUGCUGAAUAUUAAUCACAGGCCGGGAUCUGAAGACAAAGGAGUGAAAAAACAAGCUCAGCCCUUUGCUACUUGGAGACAGCUACUAAUUUCUAAGAUCCUAACUACAAGCAUACUUCGGAGAUACUACAGGUUUGGUUCCAGAUCACGGCAACAAAGCAAAAGGAUUGCAAUGAAGGAGUCACUUGAAUUUUUUGGUUUCCUAGUGCAUAUAAAAGUUAUGUUUACACUAUACUGUAGUCUAUUAAGUUGCAAUGGCAUGAUGUCUUAAAAAAACAAUGUACAUGCCUUAAUUAAAAAAUACUUUAUUAGCAGAGCAGCUCCCUCGCUGCGAUCUAUUCAAAGUCAGCCCUCGACACGAGGGUUUGUAGAAAAAGAAAGAAGAGAAAAAAAAGAAGAAAAAAGAAACCUUUAUUGCCAAAAAAAAAAAAAAUGCUAACCAGCAUCUGGGUCUUCAGGAAGUCGUAGCAAUAAUAUCAAAGAUCAACCAUAAUGAAAAUAAUAAUAAUGAAAAAGUUUAAAAUGUUGCAAGAACUACCAAAAUAUGACACAGAGACAUGAAGUGAACAAAUGAUAUUAGAAAAAUGGCACCUCACCACAAACCUUCAAUUUGUUAAAAAAAAAAACCAAGAACACAGUAUCUGUGAAGCGCAAUAAAGCAAAGUAUGAUAAAACGAAGUACGCCUGUAGAUAUGUUCUUAAAGUCUUGAGAGCAUAUUUAAAAGGCAAAAAUUCACAAAUAUUUUAAAGCCAGUUGCUACAGAUGCUGGAGUGUUUUACAUACAAUACUAUUAAGUAAGGCUUUAGUGCGGCAUAAAUUUCAAAAGGAAAUAUUUUAACACAUACUUCUGCCUAAAUCCUAUUUUUAUUUCUGUUUUUAAACAUACACACACAAUUCUGAGUGCACAUUAUAUAUGAAUCAUAAAAAAUGUCUUAACACAUAAAGCAAAUCUUAUGGCUCAGCUGUCUCAUGUUUAAUUAGCAUUUAUUUAUUAAGUACCCUGAAGUACUAGUAUAAUUUAGUGGGGAGAAAUGCCCAGGGACUGAAGUUGGGAAGAUUUAGGUACCACACCCUGUUCUCACAGGAUCCAGCCUUAAAAGUUCAAGCAAGUCCUGGGCCUCCAUUUUCCUUGUUUGUAAAAUAAGGGAGUUACCUUAUUUCUUAUUAUCUUAUUAUCAAAGGCUUUUGAAAUUUAUUUUCAUACUAUCUAUGAGGAAUGAAGGAACACAUUUACAGGGUUCACAGUCAACCUACUUAUGAGGAUGGGAAAGUAAGGAUAUUAAAAUAUCAAUUACAUACAGAGGCAAAUAUUUAAUUGGCUAAAGUCAGGUUAUCUACUGGGAAAGACGUCGUAACCAAAUUUUGUUACAGAAAUUCAAGUCUUCUUGACACCUGAGGUCUAUGCCUCAAACUAGAACUAGAAGUUCAAAUUGCUUUCUGCUGGAAACUUGCUAAAAUACUUGAAUGUUAUGCUAUACUCUUCCACCUUUUAAAAAUGUUGAGUAUUUUAAGGUUAAUACCUAACACUUAUAUGUACAGAGAGAAACAAGCAUAUAAAGGUAGUAACACACAUUCAUUCAGUUAACUAAAUUUUUUUUUUCUUCUUCCUUUGGCCUCAUAUCCCAGAUACAUUUUUCUCCACUGAUUUUCACAUCUCCUACUUUUGUCAUCUGUAACGUCUCUUGUGGUUCUUAGUUUUCAUAUAAAAUGGCUUUCAUAGAUCUUGCCAUUUAACUAGAAAACUAUUUUUCUAUAGUAUUCUAUACUACAUUAUAUAAACGUGCAGUAUAUUCUAGUUUUUUUAAAUAGCCUGCUCUUCAGAGGUGUCCUGGUGUCGUUUUCCUACCCCCAGGGGUCUUGCUUAGGAUUCUAUUUAGACAUAGAGGCCACAUCUACACUUGCACCUUCUGGAAGAACAAAGGGCAAUGAUGGCACCAAGUGUACAUACGGCACAGAUUUUCUUCUUUUAGGGUUUCAUUGUACAUCACUGCCUAUUUCUUUAAAGACAUUCUUUAGAUAAAAAUGACUAUAGAGGGCUUCCCUGGUGGCGCAGUGGUUGAGAGUCCGCCUGCCGAUGAAGGGGACACGGGUUCGCGCCCCGGUCCGGGAAGAUCCCACAUGCCGCGGAGCGGCUAGGACAGUGAGCCAUGGCCACUGAGCCUGCGCGUCUGGAGCCUGUGUUCCACAACGGGAGAGGCCACAACAGUGAGAGGCCUGCGUACCGCAAACAAAACAAAACAAAAAAAGACUAUAGAGCCAAAUAGUUUAAAAAAACAAACCCCAAUGGUUCACUCUCACCAAUGAGCAAAGAAAUGCAAAUUCACUCAAAAGAUGAGAUCACAUAUAUCACACUGGCAAAAAUUAAAUAGAUUCAUCCUGUUCAAUGUUGGUAAGGGUGUGAGAAAAUGGGCCCUCUAGCAGGUUAUUGUGAGCAUAAAUCGCUAGCACUUUUCUGUGGGUAUAUGUAUCAAUACAAAAAUGUGCUAACCUCACCCCAGCAAUUCUAUUUCUAGGAAUUUUUCUUUAAAACAAUCCAUUACAUAGAGAUACAUACAAUAUACUGUAUAGCACACUGUUCAUAAUAGAUAAAAGUCAAAGACUGUCUAAAAAUUCCAUCAACUGAGGAUUCAUUAAAUGCAUAUUAUGGAAUAAUAUUAAGUUGUUAGAAAGAGUAAGAUUGAUGUAUCUGCAUUAACAAGGAGAGAUAACUGAAGAGAUUAAUUUUUAAAAGCCAGAAUAGAGACCAGCAGUUAUAGUAUGGCCUUUUGAUGAUACCCUAGAACUGGAGAGAGACUCAAAACUAUUAAAAGCUGUUUCGUGGAAGAAGAGAAUAUUGGGGAACUUGCACUUAACUGAAAUUCUGUAUUAACCUUUUUUUUUUUUUU
Molecule: long non-coding RNA, 3805 nt
Organism: Orcinus orca (killer whale)
Lineage: Eukaryota; Metazoa; Chordata; Mammalia; Artiodactyla; Delphinidae
Exons: 3
Source: RefSeq, a predicted model, not a curated record